GACGAACGCUGGCGGCGUGCUUAACACAUGCAAGUCGUACGGUAAGGCCCUUUCGGGGGUACACGAGUGGCGAACGGGUGCGUAACACGUGAGUAACCUGCCCACAACUUUGGGAUAACGCUAGGAAACUGGUGCUAAUACUGGAUAUGUGCUCCUGCUGCAUGGUGGGGGUGGGAAAGCUCCGGCGGUUGUGGAUGGACUCGCGGCCUAUCAGCUUGUUGGUGGGGUAGUGGCCUACCAAGGCGGCGACGGGUAGCCGGCCUGCGAGGGUGACCGGCCACAUUGGGACUGAGAUACGGCCCAGACUCCUACGGGAGGCAGCAGGGGGGAAUAUUGCACAAUGGGCGCAAGCCUGAUGCAGCAACGCCGCGUGCGGGAUGACGGCCUUCGGGUUGUAAACCGCUUUCAGCAGGGACGAAGCUUUUUGUGACGGUACCUGCAGAAGAAGCACCGGCUAACUACGUG
Molecule: ribosomal RNA, 465 nt
Filed under: uncultured bacterium
Lineage: Bacteria
Description: partial 16S ribosomal RNA
Rfam family: Bacterial small subunit ribosomal RNA
Source: RNAcentral